Molecule: ribosomal RNA, 254 nt
Filed under: uncultured bacterium
Lineage: Bacteria
Description: partial 16S ribosomal RNA
Rfam family: Bacterial small subunit ribosomal RNA
Source: RNAcentral
UACGUAGGUGGCUAGCGUUGUCCGGAUUUACUGGGCGUAAAGAGCGCGCAGGCGGUCGUUUCAAGUCGAGUGUGAAAGCCCCCGGCUCAACUGGGGAGGGUCACUCGAUACUGAUCGACUCGAAGGCAGGAGAGGGAAGCGGAAUUCCCGGUGUAGCGGUGAAAUGCGCAGAUAUCGGGAGGAACACCGGUGGCGAAGGCGGUUCUCUGGGCCUUACCUGACGCUGAGGAGCGAAAGCGUGGGGAGCGAACAGG